GCCGCGCUCGGCGGCACUGGUACCUCCUGGUCUCCUGUCGCCGUGUCUCCGUGCCUCUGCUUUAUUGACCUCAGCUCGCUGAAACAGAGAGUGAAUUAUAAUGACACACUAUCAAAUGUUGCACCAUCCUUGGAUUCCUGAGAUAACCCUACUGAGUUGGCUGUAUGGUGAGAAGCCAUCUGGUGAAGGGGCUCUUCGAGGUGGUGUGAUUCUCCCGCUCUGAAACUUCACAACAUAUAAAAAUUAGGGGAAUUCCCUGGUGGCACAGUGGUUAAGAAUCCACCUGCCAAUGCAGGGGACACGGGUUCGAGCCCUGGUCCGGGAAGAUCCCACACGCCGCAGAUCAACUAAGCCCGUGCACCACAACUACUGAGCCUGAGCUCUAGAGCUCGCGAGCCACAACUACUGAGCCCACGUGCCACAACUACUAAAGCCCGUGCGCCUAGAGCCUGUGCUCCGCAACAAGAAGCCACCGCGCAAUGAGAGGCCUGCACACCGCAAAGAAGAGUAACCCCCGCUGGCCCCAACUAGAGAAAACCCACACACAGCAACAAAGACCCAAUGCAGCCAAAAAUAAAAUUAAAUAAAUUUUAAAAAUUAAGAAAUGCUUUAAAAAGAUAAAAAUUAGGUAAAUUGCUCACUUCUCCAUUAGAAAAAAGUUACGUAAAAAAAGGUCAUAGCAGACACCAUUUUCAUAUUCUGAAAAAAAUGCCUCAAUAUAUAAUAUGAUGGGACAAAAUGUAUUUUGCAAACGCAUUUGUCUGACAUA
Molecule: long non-coding RNA, 769 nt
Organism: Kogia breviceps (pygmy sperm whale)
Lineage: Eukaryota; Metazoa; Chordata; Mammalia; Artiodactyla; Physeteridae
Source: RefSeq, a predicted model, not a curated record